RNAcentral lists this ribosomal RNA (666 nucleotides) under Escherichia coli. RNAcentral's name for it is "partial 23S ribosomal RNA". It matches the Rfam family "Bacterial large subunit ribosomal RNA", at positions 344 to 1013 of the family's 2925-position model. The record is from RNAcentral. Lineage: Bacteria; Pseudomonadati; Pseudomonadota; Gammaproteobacteria; Enterobacterales; Enterobacteriaceae.
GGAAAGGCGCGCGAUACAGGGUGACAGCCCCGUACACAAAAAUGCACAUGCUGUGAGCUCGAUGAGUAGGGCGGGACACGUGGUAUCCUGUCUGAAUAUGGGGGGACCAUCCUCCAAGGCUAAAUACUCCUGACUGACCGAUAGUGAACCAGUACCGUGAGGGAAAGGCGAAAAGAACCCCGGCGAGGGGAGUGAAAAAGAACCUGAAACCGUGUACGUACAAGCAGUGGGAGCACGCUUAGGCGUGUGACUGCGUACCUUUUGUAUAAUGGGUCAGCGACUUAUAUUCUGUAGCAAGGUUAACCGAAUAGGGGAGCCGAAGGGAAACCGAGUCUUAACUGGGCGUUAAGUUGCAGGGUAUAGACCCGAAACCCGGUGAUCUAGCCAUGGGCAGGUUGAAGGUUGGGUAACACUAACUGGAGGACCGAACCGACUAAUGUUGAAAAAUUAGCGGAUGACUUGUGGCUGGGGGUGAAAGGCCAAUCAAACCGGGAGAUAGCUGGUUCUCCCCGAAAGCUAUUUAGGUAGCGCCUCGUGAAUUCAUCUCCGGGGGUAGAGCACUGUUUCGGCAAGGGGGUCAUCCCGACUUACCAACCCGAUGCAAACUGCGAAUACCGGAGAAUGUUAUCACGGGAGACACACGGCGGGUGCUAACGUCCGUCGUGA